Non-coding RNA from Pelobates cultripes (western spadefoot toad), 626 nucleotides. The record is from the annotation of a GenBank genome assembly. Lineage: Eukaryota; Metazoa; Chordata; Amphibia; Anura; Pelobatidae.
UACCUCAGGGAUCUGUACUUGGACCCAUUCUCUUUAAUAUUUUUAUUAGUGAUAUUGCAGAAGGUCUUGAUGGUAAGGUAUGUCUUUUUGCUGAUGAUACUAAGAUAUGUUGUUAUGGGCAAAUGCAAAUAUUACAAGUUUUAGAAUGAAAUGUUGUAUUUCUUAAACUGUGUACUUUGUCUUUAAGAGAUAUUGCAAACUGACAAGGUGUUAGACAUGGAACAUAUUGUUUUUCAUAGAUGUUUCUUUAAGCAAUAACCUCAGUGCAUAAUAUGUUUGCGCCGUUUUGUCCCAGACGAAUUACAAUAACAAUAAUGCAUAAACAAGCUUCAAGGAUAUACUACGACACUUGCAGUACACAAUAUACUGUGGUAACCCCAAGUUAAUGGAACUUCCCCAAAUCCGGGAAUCUCCCACGACUGCGCACUUACGACUUAGUAUAAACAACAGAUAAGCUAUUCAGACUUUAAGAUGCCAUCUUGAACUAAGUCAGGAAAAUUUCCGUGACGUAUACACCCUUUAGUUAUGGCCUUGUAUGUUUGCCAAGUUAAGGGAGGUCCUAAAAUGAAUAAAGUAAAAGAAGUGGUACUUUUUCAUAUAUGAACUAUGGUAACUCUAAAAUGACG